This 499-nucleotide ribosomal RNA is filed under the name uncultured bacterium. Its description in RNAcentral is "partial 16S ribosomal RNA". It matches the Rfam family "Bacterial small subunit ribosomal RNA", at positions 28 to 507 of the family's 1533-position model. The record is from RNAcentral.
GAUGAACGCUGGCGGCGUGCCUAAUACAUGCAAGUCGAGCGAACAGACGAUAGUGCUUGCACUCUCUGACGUUAGCGGCGGGCGGGUGAGUAACACGUGGGUAACCCACCUAUUUGACGGGGAUUACUUCGGGAAACCGUAGCUAAUAACGGCAAAUAUUUAGCUUCGGAUGAAGCAGUAGUGUAAGACCGUUCUGCUGUCACUUAUAGAUGGACCCGGGUUGUAUUAGCUAGUUGGUGAGGCAACGGCUCACCAAGUCACCGAUACCUGGCCGACGUCUGAGAGUGAUAGCCGACACGGGGACUGAGACACGCCCCAGAGGCCUACGGGAGGCACCAGAAGGGAAUCUUCGGCAAUGGACGAAAGUCUGACGCAGCAAUGCCGCGUGAGUGAAGAAGGCUUUCGGAUCGUAAAGCCCUGUUGUAGGGGAAGAACAGCUACGUUAGUAACUGAAGCUACCUUGACGGUACCUUACCAAAAAGCCCCGGCUAACUACGUG